CUCCGGUUGAUCCUGCCGGACCCGACUGCUAUCGGAUUGAGAUUUAGCCAUGCGAGUCGAACGUCCCCCUGUUGCGGGGGGCGUGGCGUACGGUUUUUUUUUCGUAGUCAACCUGCCCUGGAGACAUGUUUGAGCCCGGGAAACUGGGAUUAAUCCGUGAUAGGCCCGCUCAUCUGGAAGGAGAGAUGACUUAAAGGGAUGCGAGAGCUUCUUUCUUGUAUCCGCUCCAGGAUGGGACUGCGGCCGAUCAGGGCUGUUGGUGGGGUAAUGGCCCACCAAACCUGUAACCGGUACGGGCCUUGAGAGAGGGGGCCCGGGAGAUGGACACUGAGAUAAGGGUCCAGGUCCUACGGGGCGCAGCAGGCGCGAAACCUUCGCAAUGCGCGAAAGCGUGACGAGGUUAAUCCGAGUGGUCCCCGCUGAGGGGAUCUUUUGCCGGCUGUAAAAAGGCCGGUGAAUAAGGGGAGGGCAAGUCUGGUGUCAGCCGCCGCGGUAAUACCAGCUCCUCGAGUGGUCGGAGCGAUUAUUGGGCCUAAAGCAUCCGUAGCAAAAUCUGUAGGUCCUCUGUUAAAUCCAACGGCUUAACCGUUGGCCCGCAGAGGAUACCGCAGGACUAGGAGGCGGGAGAGGUGGACGGUACUCCACGUGUAGGGGUAAAAUCCUUUGAUCCGUGGAAGACCACCAGUGGCGAAGGCGGUCCACCAGAACGCGCUCGACGGUGAGGGAUGAAAGCUGGGGGAGCGAACCGGAUUAGAUACCCGGGUAGUCCCAGCCGUAAACGAUGCAAACUCGGUGAUGCAUUGGCUUAUGGCCAAUGCAGUGCCGCAGGGAAGCCGUUAAGUCUCCGAAUGGGACGUACGGNCGCAAGUCUGAAACUGGAGCUCUAUAAAAAGAGG
RNAcentral lists this ribosomal RNA (896 nucleotides) under uncultured archaeon. Its description in RNAcentral is "bacterial SSU rRNA". It matches the Rfam family "Archaeal small subunit ribosomal RNA", at positions 1 to 868 of the family's 1478-position model. The record is from RNAcentral.